This is a long non-coding RNA of Myiozetetes cayanensis, 1099 nucleotides long. RefSeq lists it as uncharacterized. The transcript is spliced from 3 exons. The record is from RefSeq and is a predicted model, not a curated record. Lineage: Eukaryota; Metazoa; Chordata; Aves; Passeriformes; Tyrannidae.
GGGGGGAUUAAACUGGAUUUAGGGUUAGGUUUAACUUAAUUUAAGCCUAAACUGAAUUUGAUUUAAGGUUAGGGUUCAUUUAAAGGUUAAGGUCAGGUUAGAGUUAUGUUCAGGUCAGGUUUCAGUUGGGUUUAGGUCAGGUUUCAGUUAAGGUUAGGUUGUUGAGAUCAGGUCUAAGUUAGGUUUAGAUCAGGUAUAAGUUAAGGUCAGGUUCAGGUCAGGCUUCAGUUAGGUCUAUGUCAGGUUCCAGCCAGGUGUAAGUUAAGGCCAGGUGUUAGUUAAGACCAGUUUUCAGCCGGGUUUAAGUCUAGGUUGUUUAGGUCAGGUUUAAGUUAAGGUCAGGUUUAUGUCAGGUUCCAACCAGGUGUAAAUUAAGGCCAGGUUUCAGUUAGGUUUAUGCUGUUUUCUGCUGGUUUCGGUUAAGCCCAGGUUCCAGCCAGCUUUAAGUUAAGGUCAGGUUGAGUUAGGUUUAGGCCAGGUUCCAGUGAGGUUUAUACCAGGUUUCAGUGAGGUUUAUGCCAGGUUCCAGUGAGGUUUAUGCCAGGUUGAAUGAGGUUUAUAUGAGGUUUAAGUGAGGUUUAUGCCAGGUUCCAGUGAGGUUUAUAUCAGGUUUAAGUGAGGUUUAUGCCAGGUUCCAGUGAGGUUUAUACCAGGUUCCAGUGAGUUUAUACCAGGUUCCAGUGAGGUUUAUGCCAGAUUUCAGUGAGGUUUAUGCCAGAUUUCAGUGAGUUUAUGCCAGGUUCCAAUCAGGUUUAUACCAGUUUUCAGUAAGGUUUAUGCCAGGUUUAAGUGAGGUUUAUGCCAGGUUCCAGUGAGUUUAUACCAGGUUCCAGUGAGUUUAUACCAGGUUCCAGUGAGUUUAUACCAGGUUCCAGUGAGGUUUAGGCCAGGUUCUAGUCAGGUUUAUACCAGGUUCCAGUCAGGUUUAUACCAGAUUUCAGUGAGGUUUAUACCAGGUUCCAGUGAGUUUAUACCAGGUUCCAGUGAGGUUUAUACCAGGUUCCAGUGAGGUUUAGGUCAGGUUCCAGUGAGUUUAUGCCAGGUUCCAGUGAGUUUAUACCAGGUUCCAGUCAGGUUUAUGCCAGGUUCCAGUGAGUUU